Molecule: long non-coding RNA, 1568 nt
Organism: Vicia villosa (hairy vetch)
Lineage: Eukaryota; Viridiplantae; Streptophyta; Magnoliopsida; Fabales; Fabaceae
Exons: 4
Source: RefSeq, a predicted model, not a curated record
AGAAAUUGGCUGAUGUGAAGCAAGGGAUGUCUCAUGCUUAUUAGAAUUAUCUGGAAAGUCUCGCGCUUAUUUGCAAUAAUCUAUAGUGUGUCUAUUGUUUAAUAUGAUAUCUCUUUAUUUUGCUAAACCAGCUGUAUCUAAUUUUCCCUCAUGGGAGUGGAAUUAACAUUUUAUUCAAAGAGUAUUCAUUUAUGAGUCACUGUUUUCCGCCGCAAUGUUGUUAACUUCCGCAAUACCGCUUUCGGUGUCAAUGCGGUAAUUCUCUUCCCGGAAAUGGUUUUCAAACUGAAUGUGGUUUGGUUUUUGAUACUGAGGGAACAUUUUACCGGCAAGAGAAUGCUACUGGAAGAUUCAACCACCAAUACUCAACGUAUCAACUAUCUAUAAAACAUCUUAAAUUUGUCUUUAUUUUUUUCGAUGUGGUUUCUUAAAUUUGUUUUUGUUUCAUCUUGAUGUAACCACACCUGGUGUGAACAUACUUGCUGCCUAUUCACUAUUUGCAAGUGCAUCCAACUUACUAACAGACAAUCGCCAAGGAGUUCCAUUCAAUGUAUUGCAAGGAACCUCUGUGUCUUGCCCCCAUGUGGCUGGAAUUGCAGGACUAAUCAAAACUCUCCAUUCGAAUUGGAUGACUGCAACUAUUAAAUCAGCUAUCAUGACCACAGGUACACUCACAUUACAAUUCCUUGAUUUUUACUAAGCACAAGAUUUCUAACUUCAUUAUUUAUAUAUCCUACCAGCAACCGCACAAGAUAACACCAACAAGCCAAUUCAGGAUGCGCUUGACAAAAAACUGGGAACUCCAUGGCACACAGCAUGAAAAGGGCGCACUCGAAUGAUUACGUUAAUAAGAAAAAUGACCCGCUGUGAGCUGAAUGGGAGAUAAUAGAAGCUUCAGAGAAGUUAGCAGAGUGUCAAGAAACCUUUGCAAUAUUGUUCGUCUGUUUUAUUCCCUUACUUUGUAUGUUACUCUAUUGUAGUGUUCAUAAAAAAAAAAUAGAUCAUGUUGGGGUUUAUGUUGAUGUUGAUGCACACCUUUGAUUAAAGCCAUGUUGAUGCAUUUUGAGUAAACCAUUGGGAACUUCGAAGCUACUGAUGUUGCCAAUGCAGUUCUGGAUGGAAGAGACUGUGUGAUGCUUAAUGGUGAGACAGCUGCUGGAGCUUAUCCAGAACAAGUGAAUGUCUCGGGUUUAAACCCGUGAUCCUACCCCUGACAAUAACUGAACUGACUUAACAUGAAGAUUAUUGUUGAUGAAUGACAUUGGAUAUUUGAAUUUUACAGUGUAGUGACUAAAUUAUGCAGGUUGACCGAUGAUUCCCAAGUUGUGGUUAUAAGCUUUGGUAUGAGAUUUGACAUACUUAAGUUUGGAGACAUUUAUCUUUCAGUAUAUAGAAUGUUUAUCAUAUUGGCACCUUGAUGGAACUUAUUAGAUCUAUUGCACUUUCAUUUGCUAAUGAUGGGAAACGUGUAAAGGUGUUUUCCCGACUCGUUUUGCUCUAACAUAGAAUAUUUUGUAUGUAUAGAAAUAGAAGGAGCUUCUAUUUGUAAAUGUCAACAUAGUUCUCUC